This 463-nucleotide ribosomal RNA is filed under the name uncultured bacterium. Its description in RNAcentral is "partial 16S ribosomal RNA". It matches the Rfam family "Bacterial small subunit ribosomal RNA", at positions 28 to 507 of the family's 1533-position model. The record is from RNAcentral.
GACGAACGCUGGCGGCGUGCUUAACACAUGCGAGUCGAACGGAAAGGCCUUUUCGGAGGUACUCGAGUGGCGAACGGGUGAGUAACACGUGGGUGAUCUGCCCUGCACUCUGGGAUAAGCCUGGGAAACUGGGUCUAAUACCGGAUAGGACCGCACUUUAGUGUGUGUGGUGGAAAGUUUUUUCGGUGUAGGAUGAGCCCGCGGCCUAUCAGCUUGUUGGUGGGGUAAUGGCCUACCAAGGCGGCGACGGGUAGCCGGACUGAGAGGUUGGUCGGCCACAUUGGGACUGAGAUACGGCCCAGACUCCUACGGGAGGCAGCAGUGGGGAAUAUUGCACAAUGGGCGCAAGCCUGAUGCAGCGACGCCGCGUGGGGGAUGACGGCCUUCGGGUUGUAAACUCCUUUCGCCAGGGACGAAGCGUUUUGUGACGGUACCUGGAGAAGAAGCACCGGCUAACCACGUG